Molecule: ribosomal RNA, 1665 nt
Filed under: Triticum aestivum (bread wheat)
Lineage: Eukaryota; Viridiplantae; Streptophyta; Magnoliopsida; Poales; Poaceae
Description: partial small subunit ribosomal RNA
Source: RNAcentral
AUGGCUGCUUCAGCAAUAGGAGGAUGGGUGGCCUCAGCCUUCAUCACCAAGCUAGUUGAGAAGGUGUGCUCCUAUGCUGGAGAUCAGUAUGAAUACCAACGGAAAGAUACAAAGGAGAAACUAAGAAUCCUAGAGAAGAAUCUAUCGUCGAUCCAAACAGUGAUACAUAUAGCUGAGAGAGUGCAGGCAAAGAACACAGCCAUGGGAAGUUGGCUAAGGAGAAUCAAAGAUGCCGCCUGUCAAGCUGAGGAUGUUCUUGAUUUGUUUGACUAUCGAGUUCUCCAAGCACAAACUGAAGACAGGGGCAUGAUUAGCUCAGUUACUUCAGCUGCAGCUGGCUCAUCUUCUUCAUCCUCAAGCACCAUCACCACUGCCUCUACCACCACUAGCAGUAGUAGCAACUCAACGGUAAAUCAGUCGGUUCGUCUUCUCAAACGCUUCCUUUUCUCUGAUGAAGAUAUAGAUGAGUUGAUUUCUGUAGUCGAUAAGUUUGUUGAGAUUGAUAGUGAGAUGCAAAGAUUUCUGGAAUUUGUGAAGAUAGAGGACAGCAGGACAGAACAGGCAGUUCAGUGGCGCACAACAACCUCCAUGCCAGGCUCAGGGAAGUUUUUUGGUCGAGUUAAUGAAGAAAACAAACUGAAGAGAUUACUUGUUCAGAUCAAUGAGCAAUCCAGUCAUCCAUAUGAUGUUAUAUCAAUUGUUGGUAUUGGUGGUGUUGGUAAGACAACGUUAGUACAGAGAGUGUAUGACCAAUUGCAUGACACAGAUCACUUUGAUCUCACAGUAUGGCUCCAUGUCUCAGAUAAAUUUGAUGUUGGACAGCAAAAGGAAGAUGAUAUCAUAUCAGUAUUGCGACCGAGUUAUGAGCAUCUUCCUGACCAUUUGAAGCAAUGCUUUGUUUACUUUGCAUUGUUUCCUAAGAAAUACCACCUUCGAGGAGAUGAGCUAAUACAGAUGUGGAGAGCUCACGGUUUCCUUGACACGCAAACACCAGAUGAAACUGCACGUCGUUACAUCAAUGAUCUCUUGCAGCUUUUAUUCAUUGAGAAGGUACCCAACCGAGAGGACCACUAUGUAGUUCACGACUUGCUACAUGAUUUUGCAGAGUCGGUGUCCAAUGGAGAACACUUCCGAAUAGAAGAUGACUUAGAUGUAUGUAUUCCAAGAAAUGUUCGCCACCUAUAUGUCAGUGCAAGCAAUAUCUUAAAGGUGUACAUGAGUUUGGAAGACUUAAAGAAAAAUCUGAGAAGCUUAAUAAUAAGCAAGGCACAAGAAGGUGCUUCUUGCGAAAGGGUCUCCUCGUCAAACUUUAAUCAUGUACUUGAACAUAUACUCAAAGAGCUAAGAAGCUUACGCGUUUUAGUACUGUGCAAUCCUGAUGGUAUGCUUCCAGACAGUCUUGAUCAUUUGGUCCAUCUUAGGUAUCUAAACAUCCAUGAAAGUAGAAACUUCAUCAAUGUCAAGUCAUUAUUCAAACUCUACCAUUUACAAGGGUUGAGUCUGCAAGUUCAAGACAUGAUCAUGAAAAAGGAACUCCAAGAGGGCUUAAGUAGGUUGACCCAGUUAAGAUACUUAAAGGCUCCAGAGAAAAUAAUUUCAAGCAUAGAAUUGAUUGGCAGGCCGAGAUCCCUCAAAAGAACUAGAGGAGAACAAAGUGAAGAGUAA